GCCUCUGUGCUGUAGCGGUAGCAUGCGCUCCCAUGUAUGGAUGAAAUGCGGGUUCAAAUCCUGUCUGAGGUU
Molecule: non-coding RNA, 72 nt
Organism: Parelaphostrongylus tenuis
Lineage: Eukaryota; Metazoa; Nematoda; Chromadorea; Rhabditida; Metastrongylidae
Source: the annotation of a GenBank genome assembly